GACGAACGCUGGCGGCGUGCUUAACACAUGCAAGUCGAACGGAAAGGCCCUGCUUGCAGGGUACUCGAGUGGCGAACGGGUGAGUAACACGUGGGUGAUCUGCCCUGCACUUCGGGAUAAGCCUGGGAAAUUGGGUCUAAUACCGGAUAGGAGCCAUUUUUAGUGUGAUGGUUGGAAAGUUUUUUCGGUGUAGGAUGAGCUCGCGGCCUAUCAGCUUGUUGGUGGGGUAAUGGCCUACCAAGGCGGCGACGGGUAGCCGGCCUGAGAGGGUGGACGGCCACAGUGGGACUGAGAUACGGCCCAGACUCCUACGGGAGGCAGCAGUGGGGAAUAUUGCACAAUGGGCGCAAGCCUGAUGCAGCGACGCCGCGUGGGGGAGGACGGCCUUCGGGUUGUAAACUCCUUUCGCUAGGGACGAAGCUUUUUGUGACGGUACCUAGAGAAGAAGCACCGGCUAACUACGUG
Molecule: ribosomal RNA, 465 nt
Filed under: uncultured bacterium
Lineage: Bacteria
Description: partial 16S ribosomal RNA
Rfam family: Bacterial small subunit ribosomal RNA
Source: RNAcentral